RNAcentral lists this transfer RNA (67 nucleotides) under Dixella aestivalis. RNAcentral describes it as "tRNA-Ser". The record is from RNAcentral. Lineage: Eukaryota; Metazoa; Arthropoda; Insecta; Diptera; Dixidae.
AGUUAAUGAGCUUGAAUAAGCAUAUGCUUUGAAAGCAUAAGAUAGAAAUAUAAUUUUCUAUUGACUU